ACGUAGGGUGCGAGCGUUAAUCGGAAUUACUGGGCGUAAAGCGUGCGCAGGCGGCGCCAUAAGACAGAUGUGAAAUCCCCGGGCUUAACCUGGGAACUGCGUUUGUGACUGUGGUGCUCGAGUGCGGCAGAGGGGGGUGGAAUUCCACGUGUAGCAGUGAAAUGCGUAGAGAUGUGGAGGAACACCGAUGGCGAAGGCAGCCCCCUGGGUCGACACUGACGCUCAUGCACGAAAGCGUGGGGAGCAAACA
This 250-nucleotide ribosomal RNA is filed under the name uncultured bacterium. RNAcentral's name for it is "partial 16S ribosomal RNA". It matches the Rfam family "Bacterial small subunit ribosomal RNA", at positions 525 to 774 of the family's 1533-position model. The record is from RNAcentral.